GCCCGGCUUAAUGGAUGAUAAACAAGAAGUUCUUCUGAUUGGGGGACUACCAGAUCGUGCCUCAUGACUAUGGAUCAUGCCAGUAGCAGCAGAGCGUAUCCACGGCUCCACUCCAAACCUUCACUAUUAAGUUGUAACUCAUAAGCUCUCUCUUCUAAAUCGGCCAUCUGGUGAUCCCCCAGUUCUUCUUUAUAUGAAUUAUAUAUAUAAGUCUCUCAGAUAACUUUGUAUGUGG
This 235-nucleotide long non-coding RNA is filed under the name Daucus carota (carrot). RNAcentral describes it as "long non-coding RNA (DCAR_LNC004793)". The record is from RNAcentral. Lineage: Eukaryota; Viridiplantae; Streptophyta; Magnoliopsida; Apiales; Apiaceae.